GCCGGCCCUCCGCCUCCUCCUCCGCCUCCUCCUCCUCCUCGGCCUCGGCCUCGGCCUCGGCAAGGUCCUCCUCGAAAAGGUCCUCCUCGAAAAGGUCCUCCUCGCCGCGUUCUUCCUCGCCGCGUUCUUCCUCGCCACGUUCCUCCUCGCCGCGUUCUUCCUCCUCACCAGGUUCUCCUUCUUCAUGUCCUCCCUUACCAUGUUCUUCCUCAUCAUGUUCUUCCUCAUCAUGUUCUUCUUCUCCAUGUUCUUCUUCUCCACGUUCUUCCUCAUCAUGUUCUUCUUCUCCAUGUUCUUCCUCUCCAUGUUUUUCCUCACCAUGUUCUUCUUCUCCAUGUUCUUCCUCUCCAUGUUCCUCAUCAUGUUCUUCUUCUCCAUGUUCUUCUUCUCCAUGUUUUUCCUCACCAUGUUCUUCUUCUUCAUGUUCUUCUUCUCCAUGUUCUUCUUCUUCAUGUUCUUCUUCUCCAUGUUCUUCUUCUCCAGGUUCUUCCUCACCACGUUCUUCCUCACCAUGUUCUUCCUCAUCGGGUUCUUCUUCUCCAUGUUCUUCCUCACCACGUUCUCCCUCACCACGCUCUUCCUCCUCCUCCUCCUCCUCCUCACGUUCCUCCUCCUCUUCCUCCUCGCCUGCAAGACACGCAGCCGGCGUCAGGCCGGGGUGACCGGCCACCAACCGCCGACCCCUCCGGCGCCUCGGUUUCCCCACUCACCCUGGAGGGCGGCGCCGGGCUCCGGGCACGGCUCCGUCCAGGUGGCGGCGGUGGCCGCCAGCGGCAGGUACCUGCGGGUGUCACCGGUGGCGGUGGUCGGGGGGGACACGUCGGCGCCCCGGGGGGGCGGUGGGGUGGCCCCCGGGGAUGUCCCCGAUGGUCGGGGUGGCCUCAGGGUGAGGGAGACCCCAGGGUGUGGGGACACCGGUCUCAUGGACUGUCCCCAUGUCCCUGUCCCCAUGUCCCCAUCUCGUCCUCGUGUCCCCGUCCCUGUGUCCAUCGCCUUGCCCCCAUCUCAUCCCCGUGUCCCUACACCCCAUGUCCCCCUCCCCUUGUCCCCGUCCCCAUGUCUCCAUCUCAUCCCCAUGUCCCCGUGUCCCCAUCUUGUCCCCAUGCUCCAUGUCCCCAUGUCUCCAUCCCCAUGUCCCCAUCUCAUCCCCGUGUCCCUACACCCCAUGUCCCCAUCCCCUUGUCCCCAUCCCCGUGUCCCCUCCCCAUGUCCCCAUCCCAUCCCCAUGUCCCUGUCCCCGUGUCCAUCCCCAUGUCCAU
RNAcentral lists this long non-coding RNA (1259 nucleotides) under Apteryx owenii (little spotted kiwi). RNAcentral's name for it is "lncRNA (ENSAOWG00000007818.1)". The record is from RNAcentral. Lineage: Eukaryota; Metazoa; Chordata; Aves; Apterygiformes; Apterygidae.